This 254-nucleotide ribosomal RNA is filed under the name uncultured bacterium. RNAcentral's name for it is "partial 16S ribosomal RNA". It matches the Rfam family "Bacterial small subunit ribosomal RNA", at positions 524 to 776 of the family's 1533-position model. The record is from RNAcentral.
UACGGAGGGUGCGAGCGUUGUCCGGAAUCAUUGGGCGUAAAGGGCGCGUAGGUGGCCACUUCAAGCGUGCGGUGAAAGUCGGGGGCUCAACCCCUGAUCGGCCGUGCGAACUGGGGGGCUGGAGCACUGUAGAGGCAGGCGGAAUUCCGGGUGUAGCGGUGGAAUGCGUAGAUAUCAGGAGGAAUACCGGUGGUGUAGACGGCUCUCUGGACCGCCACUGACGCUGAGACACGAAAGCGUGGGUAGCAAACAGG